Molecule: RNA transcript, 2393 nt
Organism: Vigna radiata var. radiata (mung bean)
Lineage: Eukaryota; Viridiplantae; Streptophyta; Magnoliopsida; Fabales; Fabaceae
Gene name: kinesin-like protein KIN-13A
Exons: 4
Source: RefSeq, a predicted model, not a curated record
UGAUUAAUUAUUUCCAAUUAUGCAUGUAGGUGGUGCAAUAAAAGGGUGGGAGAGUGGGAGGGCAUAUAAGACAUUUCGAAACCUUUCGGUAAAAGUAGCACGAGCCAGGGUAACCGAUAGAUUUGAAAAUUAGACGAUUAUGAUUAUUAAAUUAUGAAAUUUAACGUUUUAUUAAUCUCCAAAUUUUCCAUUCAGAGGGUUUCUCUCUUCUUCUCGCCCAUUAUCCUUCUUCCGCCAUAAUCGCCCAAACAAAUGGAAUCAAAUUCGUCGCGCUCACUCCUUCCAACGACGCCGCUUCAGAUCUGAAUCGCAGCCGUUUCGGAGAUCCACUGUGCCGGCAUUCUCCGUUCAAUUCUCGCACCUUUCAUGCUCUUCCCCUCGUGCGCACAGAUCUUGAAAAUUGACGCCUCAACGACGUUCGCAGCGUCACGCGAGUGGCCAGAUGCCGCAGGGCAAUGCCGCCGCCGUCGCCGCUCUGUUAGACCACGGCAGCGAUGCUGGAGACGCCGUUAUGGCGCGGUGGCUCCAGUUCGCCGGCUUGCAGCAUCUCGCCUCGCCCCUAGCUUCUACCGCCAUCAAUCAUCGCCUCCUCCCCAACCUUCUCAUGCAGGUUAUAUUACUCUGUAUGAUUCUUCAGCUGUCCUGCAUUUUGAGGAAUGAUUAUGGUACGGUCUUAUUUUAGUUAGAAGCAUGCAUUGAGUGUGCAGUAUGGGUUGAAUUUGCUAAAUGAUGUUUGCUCUUAUUUAUGAUGGUAGUUCACGAGGUGACAAAGAUGAUUGUGAUGUUGUUGUAGGGUUAUGGAGCANAGUCUGCUGAGGAGAAGCAGAGGCUUUUGAAGUUGAUGAGAAACUUCAAUUUUAAUGGGGAGUCUGGUUCAGAGCCAUAUACGCCCACGGCCCAAUCUUUAGGUGGAGUAGCUGGGUCGGAUGGGUUUUAUUCUCCUUGUUCAGGGGCGAUUUUGGAUCCGGGCUUUUGGAUCUUCAUGGAUGAUACAGAGCUUUUGUCUGAGGUAUGCAUAUGAUUUGGUGUAUCAUAUAUAAUGGUCUGUUCAUUCAUGAAAGCCAAUUGACUUAGUUUGGUUCAAGUACUAUUACCACAGUUUAUUGGGAAAAGAUCUUCAACAUGUGAUUUUGACACGUUGUCAUAUUCUAUAAAAUAGAUCAUGGUACUUACGAGUUCGUUAUGAAAACUCUAGAAAGUUCUCAGACUAGAUUUAAAUCUUCAAAUACUUGUUCAAAUUUUUGCUGAUUUUUGAAACUAAUNUGUCCAUGACUUACAGUUUUCGAAACCAAAUUGGACGCUCUGUUUUAUGACAUACACUCCUUAUGGAAUGCUCCUUUAAUUAGGUUAUUUGAGUGCUAGUUUGAAUAGCCAGGCUAUCGGUGAUUAUAUACGAUGUCUUAGUUUUUUUUUUUCUAAUUUUUAUGUGAGAAUUUUAUAUAUUUUAUAUUUUAUUUGGUUGUGACGUGAAGAUAUUUUCAAGACACGAAAAAUAAAUCUUUAUUAUUAUGAUUCUUGUUUAGGACCUUUUCAAUACCUAAUUAUCAACUUGUCGCCAUAAAAGAUGAAAUAACCAAUAUAUCUCAAAUUUCAUUUCCAUCCUAAAAUAUUUAAAGUAAUAAUUUUAAAAUAUUAAAAUUAUUUAUCAUUUUAAAGAAGUUUUCUUUGAAAAGGGUUAAAGUAUAGUUUACAUUUAUUUAUAGGAGAAUAGUGUAUAUUUUGUCAUAAAGAUGGGAGAUUAUAAUUUACAUAAUUUGAUGUUCACUUUUUUGGUUAUGCGGGAUUUGUUUGCUUGGAUUUUGAAUGCAUAACGGAGCUGAAGGGAAUAAAUAAAAAUUGGACCAAAGCAUGAAAAUGAAGAUGAAAAGCCCAGUCAGUGUGGAAAACGAGAGAAGGCCCUAUGGUGGUUUGGUCCAAUUGCGAUUCAACAUUUCCCAAUCCGAAGAACUAACUGAGAAGUGAAGUGAAAAAGCAGAGAGGAGAAGAGAAGGGAAAGUCGCAUGGCAUCGACGGUGGCGUACCUUGCUCGACACGCGGCACAGAAGGAGAUGGUUCGGAUCCUAUACUACCGGGUCCUCAAAGACACUCUUAAUUGGGCCGUGCAUCGACACCUCUUCUACGACGAGGCUGCAAACCUCCGCGAUAGGUUCGACGAAAACAAACACUCAAGGAAAACAAACACGUGGUUCUUUUCCCCUUCUUCUCUCAAUGCCUCCCUUCCAUGAAUGCUAUAAUUUGUACUUCCCCUUACCGUUCAUUGGCUACAUUUUCUUUGUUUAUUGCUAGGAGCUGUGUAACACAAUUCUGAUCCGCACAUACCAUAAUUCCUUUCUAUUUGUUGUAUGGACUAUUAUAUUUUAAUUAGGAAUUUUUAUAACGGUUUAAUCGUUGCA